GGAGGGGGCUAGCGUUGCUCGGAAUUACUGGGCGUAAAGGGCGCGUAGGCGGAUUUUCUAGUCAGGCGUGAAAGCCCCGGGCUCAACCCGGGAAUUGCGCUUGAUACUGGAAGUCUAGAGUUCUGGAGAGGGUGGUGGAAUUCCCAGUGUAGAGGUGAAAUUCGUAGAUAUUGGGAAGAACACCGGUGGCGAAGGCGGCCACCUGGCCAGACACUGACGCUAAGGCGCGAAAGCGUGGGGAGCAAACAGGAUUAGAUACCCUGGUAGUCCACGCCGUAAACGAUGUGUGCUAGACGUCGGGCAGCUUGCUGUUCGGUGUCGCAGCUAACGCGUUAAGCACACCGCCUGGGGAGUACGGUCGCAAGAUUA
RNAcentral lists this ribosomal RNA (369 nucleotides) under uncultured organism. RNAcentral's name for it is "partial 16S ribosomal RNA". It matches the Rfam family "Bacterial small subunit ribosomal RNA", at positions 527 to 896 of the family's 1533-position model. The record is from RNAcentral.